GCAUAAUGAGGUGACGAUAGACGAUGAUAACUUAGGCCAACAUAGUGGGGAUUAGGAUUAAGUGUGGACCGUACACUUUUGCGGAGUGCAAUUGGUUGACUAAGAGGAGACAAGUCCGGAGUAGGUGCAGAAUUUGAUGCAGGAGGUGAAUCACCUGGGCGUGAUGCUGGAUGUGGACGACGAUGAUAAGUCAAGAGUGGCGGAGCUGCAGAAGGUUGAACUGGAUUAUGUGAAGCAAUUGGACCUGGAGCUAUAGAUGGUGGAAGGAGAGCUAUAAGUGGUGGAUCCGGAGAUGUAAAGGAAGAUGGAUGGGAGAUAGUGACUGAAUCUCCAAAAGAAGGGACCGGUAGUACCUCAAAAAUAUCUAAGUGAUUACCUGGACCGGUGAGGUAUGAUU
RNAcentral lists this long non-coding RNA (397 nucleotides) under Nicotiana benthamiana. RNAcentral's name for it is "long non-coding RNA (NBEN_LNC037764)". Lineage: Eukaryota; Viridiplantae; Streptophyta; Magnoliopsida; Solanales; Solanaceae. The record is from RNAcentral.